UACAGAGGUGGCAAGCGUUGUUCGGAAUUACUGGGCGUAAAGCGCACGUAGGCGGCUCUUUAAGUCGGGGGUGAAAUCCUGGAGCUCAACUCCAGAACUGCCUUCGAUACUGUAGAGCUUGAGUUCGGGAGAGGUGAGUGGAACUGCGAGUGUAGAGGUGAAAUUCGUAGAUAUUCGCAAGAACACCAGUGGCGAAGGCGGCUCACUGGCCCGAUACUGACGCUGAGGUGCGGAAGCGUGGGGAGCAAACAGG
This 253-nucleotide ribosomal RNA is filed under the name uncultured bacterium. Its description in RNAcentral is "partial 16S ribosomal RNA". It matches the Rfam family "Bacterial small subunit ribosomal RNA", at positions 524 to 776 of the family's 1533-position model. The record is from RNAcentral.